Molecule: long non-coding RNA, 11117 nt
Filed under: Heterocephalus glaber (naked mole-rat)
Lineage: Eukaryota; Metazoa; Chordata; Mammalia; Rodentia; Bathyergidae
Description: lncRNA (ENSHGLG00000036860.1)
Source: RNAcentral
CUUCCAGUGAGAAUGCCUUAUAUAAAUGGAGAAGAUACAAUGCUUUCUCCUUAAGGUGGGGAACAAGGGCAGAUAUGCUUACUCUUUAUCUGUCCAUUAAACUUUGAAACCUAGGCCCAAACCAAAAUAGUCUGGCAAUAAAAUGACACAAUUAGGAUAGGAUUGGCAAGGUAGAAGCAAAAUCUUUAUAUGUAGAUGAAAUGAUCAUCUACAGAGAAAAUACUAAGAAAUCUCUAGGAGCCCCUAGAACUUGUAUUUGAAUUUAGCAGGGUUAGAAAACACAAGGUAUAUAUAAAAAUUCAGGUCUAUGUAUACUUGCUUUAAAUGAAGAACUGGAUAUUGAAAUUUUAAAGUUAUGUAGGAGUACAAAGGACCUAGAAAAGUAAAAAGAAAAAGAAAAACAGAAACAGUGUUGGAAGAUGUUUAGUACUUAAUUUUAAGACUGCCUCUACAGCUACAGUAAUCAAGGCAGUGUUGGUGUAAGGAAAAACAUAUGGAUCAUUGGAAUAAAACAGAAUCUAGAAAUAGAACCACACAUAUAUGGUCCACUGAGUUUUGAAAGAUUAUUUAACAUUAGCAUUUUAUAGAAUAUAAAAUCAAUUCAAGAGCCAAGGAAAAGAUAGUGUUUUCAGCAAACGGCACUAGGACACCUGGUAUCCGUAUAUAAAAAAUUAACCUCAACCCUUUAUUUCCAUACAUAAAAAUACCUUGAAGGGAUCUAUGAACCUAAAUAAGAAAGCCUAAAAGUAUAAAACUUGAAGAAGAAAUCAUAAGGGAAAAUGUUUAUGAAUUUAGAGUAGGCAAGAACUACCUAGGAUACAAAAAACAUGAUGUAUAGAAGAAAAAAAUUGAUAAAUGAGAUACCUACCGUCAAAAUUUAGAACUUUAAAUGACAUCAUUAAAAUGAAAAGUAGUCCUUCAGCAGACCAUAUUUACAAUGCAUAUAACCUAUGACCAGAAUAUAUAAAGAACUCUUAGAGCUCAUUAAUAGACAACCCAAUUAAAAAGUAGACACAAGAAGAUGAUAGCCAGUACAGCACAAGGAAAGGUGUGCAACACUAGAAUCAGAAAAAUACUAAUCAGUACAAUAAUAAGAUUGAAUUCUACACUCAUUAGAGAGAUGAAGUUAAAAGUUUUAAAAGCCUUGUCAUGACUUUUUCUUUUUGUUGGAUUCUCCCCCUUUGUGUUUAAUUUGUCACGCCCAAUGGAUUCAUUCUGCUGGGCUUCCUGGGGUUGUGAUCCUCAUUGUCUUUUCCUAGGAUUUUGUCUAAAAUUUUUUGGAGUGCCGGUUUGGUAUUCAUGAAGUUCCUAAGGUGCUCUUUAUCAUGAAAGUAUCUUAUUUCUCCAUCAAUUUUGAAAGAUAGUUUUGCAGGGUACAUCAAUCUGUGUUGGAGGCUGUUUUCCUUUAGGGCUUGAAAUAAAUCACUCCAAGCUCUUCUUGCCUUGAGGGUUUGCAUUGAGAAGUUUGCUGUGAUUCUGAUGGGCUUUCCUUUGUAUGUGAUUUGUUUCUUUUCUCUCACUGCUUGUAGAAUUUUGUUCUUCUGUUGGAUUUCUGGAAUCCUAACUAUUAUAUGCCUAUGUGUAGAUUUUUUUUUUGAUCGAGGCUAGCUGGAGUCCUAUAUGCCUCACUUAUCUGUAUGUCAAGUUCUUUUCCCCUCCUUGGGAAGUUUCCUGCCAUCACUUUUCUGAACAGUUUUUUUAUGUCACCUGUACUCUCUCCUCUUUCUUCAUUGGCUCCAAUCAGUCUUAUGUUAUUCUUCUUUGCAUUGUCUAGCAGGUUCUGUAUUGAUUUCUCGUGUUCCCUUAUAAUUUUAAAGCAAUUUUUCUUUUCCUGGUCACUAAUUGCAAUCUUUUCUUCUAUAUCUGAAAUUCUAUCCUCACAUUGGUUCAUUCUGCUGCACAGACUUUCGACGGAGUUUUUAAUCUCCUAGAAAUCUGUUUGUAUGUGUUUUAUGGAUUCCAUUUGUUUCCUAUGUUGGGAUUCCAUCAUGUUCCUCAGAUCCUCUAUUUUUUUAAUGUGUCCUCUCUAGAUUUAUUAAUCAUGUCUUGCACUGUGAGCACAAUCUUUGCUAUUAUCUGAGAAAUUAUUUCUGAUUUCAUUUUUUCCAGAUCCUCUUUUGUUGCCAGUUGAGAGAGUCCAGGUGGUUGAGUAUCAGAUUGUUCCAUCUUGUUUCCCUUUGGCGUUGCUAUAGGUGAUCUGGAAGUCUGUUUUUGAGGCUUGUUUACAUGUCUUCUCAUUUCCACAGGGUGGGGGGUGCUUCUGACACCUGCAUGGCUCACCUUCUCUGCCCUAGGAGGGUGGAAUGGUGGCCAUAAUGGGUUUUUUCAACAGUUAUGUGGUACUUUAUUCUAGAAAAUGUGUUAAUUAUCAGGCCUUAAAACAAAUUUAUUGUUUCAUAAAAUGACAUAACUACUGAUAUCUCUUCAUCACACUAGAGAAUUAUAUGGUGACUUUUAAAUUUUCUGUGUAACCAGUGUGCCAUGUGCCAAUGUUUUUUCAAACUCAGUAAUUAUCUUUGUGACACACUAUAACUGAAUGCUCUCUGCUCAGCACUGUUUCUUUUCUUUGUUUUUUUUUUUUUUUGGUAUACUAGAUAUCAAACUUGGGACCUUGCUCCACAGGCAGCAGAACCACUGAGCUAAAUCCCUGGUCCUCAGCACUGUUUCUUGUUGAAACAAACUUCUGUCGGUUUAUUCCAGUGAUCUACAUUUUUGGUUGUUCAUUCCAUUGUUGGAAUGAACAUGUUUGGUUGUUAAUUCCAUUAUAAAUGGAGCCUGUGCCUGAAAUACAUAGAAGUUUGUUAUAAAAUGUAUAUAAGAAAAAAAUAAAUAAAAUGUACAUGAUAAAGGAUAAAACAAAGAUGAACAAAAUUUCCCAGCACUUGGGAGGCUGAGCAGGAAGAUCACCGCCAAUUUGAGGCCAGCCUGGACUAUGUAGUGAGUUCAAGGCCAGCCUGAGAGUUGUACUGAGACUUUGUCUCAAAACAACAAAGCAGGGUUGGGGAUUUAGCUCAGUGGUUUUGCUGCCUGCUGCUCAAGUGCAAGAACCCGAUUUCGAUCCCCAGUCCCCCCCGCCCAAAAUAAAAACACCAAAGGAAAAAACAAAUUUAAAAAGAUGAACAGAAUUAUUUCUAAAUAUCCUAUAGCUUGUGACCGCUUCAUGCUAACUACGUAUUUAUUCAUUUUAAAUUUUAUUAAAUAACUUUAUUAUCACAUACACAUACAAAAAAUUAAACCACUCAAAGAAGAGCAUUGCAAGGGGAUAAAAACUACAAUAAUAUUCAAAUACAGUAGAACUCAACCAAAACAAAACUGAAAAGCACUUAAACAUUUUUCCGUAUAACUUAGAAAAGCAUCUCAAGCACCAACAAGACACCAGAGGAUGUGAUUUGUUUCAGAAAGAUCCCCAAAACCAACAUUGAACAAAUAGUGGUCUGGAAAAAACUCCCAUUCGCUAGCAGACUCCACAUAAGCCACACUUCUCCCUAAUUUAAAUUUUGAUACAGUCAUAUGACACACGAUGGAAACACAAUCCGAGAAAUAUGUUAUUAGGCCAUUUCAUCCUUGUGUAUCCUUAAUUACAGUUUCAGUUUCUCACACUAGAGAAACUAUUUGGUAUUUACACAUGUGUGUCCUAUUUAUUUCACUUCAGAGAAUGGCCUCAAUAUGCAUUUAUUAUGUAUUUAUUAAGACCCAACAUAAACUUUGUUCAAGGUUUAUUAGUAACAAGAGUUUGUCAAUAUUUCAGAUUAUUCUAAUAAUGUAUUCCUUUUCCUCAGAUUUGAUUAGGCAGAGCCGGGGAUUUAGCUCAGUGGUUCCGCCACUUGGCUUGUAAGCGCAAGGACCCGAGUUUGAUCCCCGGUACCGAAACAAAAAACAAAAUUUGGGGGUAUAGCUCAGUGGUAGAGCAUUUGACUGCAGAUUUGAUUAGGCAAUGUCUAAGCACUUUUAGUUUGUUCCUAAUUUAAUGCUAACAACACUCAUAUGAGAUAGCCAUUAGGCUUGUGUGAAGAUCCAAGCACAGAAGAAUAAAGCCAGAGGGCACACAGCUUGUAUCCAGUAGUAUCUGCAUUCACAGCCAGGACCCCGACCAUCUCUUUUAAACAUGCGUCGUCCAGUCUGGUAGCCAUUAGCCAUAUGUGGCUGUAACACUUUAUUUAUUUAUUUAUUUAUUUUUUCCUGGUAUCAGGGAUAGAACUCAGGACCUUGUGCUUGCGAGACAGGCACAGUGCCACUAAACUAAACCUCCAGCUCUAUAACAAUUUAAUUACACCUAAAAAAAUAAACAUUUAGCUCCUCAGUUGCACUUGGCUAUAUUUCAAGUGUUCAACACGUAUCUUGUGGCCACCAUGUUGGACAACCACCAACAUAGAACAUUUCUGUCAUGACAGUAAGUUCUGCUUAGGAGCUCUGACUUUGGCCAUUGUCAUCAUGUUUUCAUCUUUUGCUAUAGCUUUAGAAGAGUCAUGCUAUGAGAUGAGGUUAAUUUAACUCUUUUUCAGUUAUUUGCUUGUGUUUGCAUAAUUAGAAAUGUCUUCCAUCUGGUGCUUCCUUGUAGGAAUCUUUGAAAGACAGAUAUCUAUUUUGUGAUGUCUGACACAGUUAAAACCAGAUAAUACUAAUCUGUGAGUUCAUCCGACUGAACACUUAGAAACUUCAGGUGGAAGGAGACACCUAUGUCACCAGCUUCUUGAUGUUGUGAAAUCCCUCACCUAUUGUGUGACACUAUUCAGCUGAGAACUUUAGCAGCAAUGUAGACAAAUGCUAGAUGUAGAAGAGGUUUGAGUCUGGUCUCCUUCUGUCUCUUGCAUGGUUCUUGGAGAAUAUGAACACCCUGGAUCUUUGACCUUGUGCCUGUGACCUGUUGAUUACCCUUUUCUCCAAUGCCCUACUCUGAUAUCAUUGCUUUUUCUGUCUUCACUUUUGCCAAAGAAUAAACAGAUUUUCAAGCUAGAGAUAUGCAGGACUGUAGAUAGCAAGGAGACUAAAAUCUUAAGAGCACAGAUGCUUACUGUGUGAGGCACAGGGCCAGGAAGAGGCAAAUGAAAGUAUGAAAAAUAGGAGUUCUUCAAAGUUGUUUUCAUUGAAUUUUCUUCAGAAAAAUGUCCUCAUUGCUUCUGUGACAUGAUAAAAUUAUUAAUGUUUUCAUGGAUCUUCUUCUUAGAGUGCCAUAUAUUGUUUGAUUUACUAUUUCACUAGCUCUCUAUGAAUUCAUGAAAAGUUGACAUUUUAUAAUGUAAGGAGGCUUGAUAUUUGUUUUUUCCCUUGGAUGGCACAACAAAAUGGAGGCAAAUGAGAUUUCCUUUGCCAGUACUUUCCAAACUGCCUCACAGUUGUGCAUGUGGUGGUACAGUGAAAGGUGGCUGGAAGCCAGGGGACAGCGUCACCUCAGAGCACAGCGUGACCGGGCGUGUUGGAUGACUUGUGCAGGGCUGUCCCACACGUUCCUGGAAAUUCUCAUCUCUGGCCACUGCUUACAAAUGCCAGUGUGACCAGACAGUCGUAAACGCCUUCCUUCUCCGUGGAGCCCUCGUGAUGGGUGAGCAGCUGGUGGGCCUGCUGUGUUCUCUCCAGACUCAGUAGUCUCUCAGCUGAUGAGACACAAGAUUACUCAGCUGCAUCACUGAAAAUCGGAGAGCAGGUUUCCAUCCAGAAUGAAAGCUUGUUAUUUGAAUAGUUAAGCAUCUGCCAUGUGCCUGCUCUCUGCUCUACCCUUUAUGUGCAUCUCCUGUUCCAUACCCACUGUACCAUGUGAGGCGGAUGCAGUACCCAUGUUUAUAGGUGAUGGAACAGUGAAGUGUUACAGUUAACUAUGUUCUCUGUGUAGGUACCAGCUAUAUUCAUGAACAAGAAAAACACUUUUUUUGUGCUUAGGGAACUUGGGAUUGCACAGCUAAGCAAGCAGAAGGGUCAACAUUUUAAUGAUAUGCCAUUUCUAGCAGAGCACAUUACCUCCUCUUUCUUCCACUAAGGCCACCUAAACUACCUGCUGGAAGAAGAAUCCCGCCAGCCCCAUUAAUCAGAAUUAGUGACCUGCAACUAUCUUUUCAAGACAUCACCACUGUGCAGUGAGUGUUCUGGCCUUUCUCCUGCAGGGGGCUGCUGGAGAGUGUGUGAAUAGUGCCCCCUGGGGAAGCUCGGUGCACAGAGUGCAGGGCCGUUGCCAAGGCGGGGCUGGGGUGAGGUAGGCAGCAGCCUCCACCUGGACCAGCUCGCCUUCCUCUGCGCCCACCUAGGUUUUCAGGUUCUGGCCAACUACUCGCUGUUUCCUCCCUGUCUAAUAUCUGCUUUCUCUCUGCUUCCCUCCGCUUCCUCCCUUUCUUCCUUUUACUCGCACAGUAUUUUUGAACCCUUCACUGUUUCUCCAUGUUCUAGGACUAUGAUAAAACAGCCAUUAAAACACAGAGAGUCCCCGACCUCAAGGGUCACACCAGUCAGAAUGCUUUCGGUCCCUUUUGCUUUGUGCUCACCACAGUCUUCAGGUGUACGGCGUCCUUCUGUUGCUAUGGUGAUACUUAUGUGGAACAUUGGCCAGAAGAACGCUGAGGCACAUUCACUUAAGUGGCAUUCUUACGUGGACCGGUAUGCCCACGGUCCGUUGGUAUUCCAGUGUCCAGGCUGGCGUGCCCGGCUUUGCACGAAGAAGCACUGCGUAAGACAUCUUACUUCAUCUUCCUGCUCGCAGGCAUCAAGUGAGAAGCCGCCACCAGAGUGCUUCCCACCCCACCAGGGACACCUGGUUGCCUGUCCCGGCUAGUCUGUGUCACACACCUGCUAGAUAUCAUGGACAGAAGAGAGGAAGAGGAAACGGCUCAGCAAAUUAGAUGACUCAAAAAGGUGGUUGCCUGGUGAUUCAGAAGACUGAAUGCUAGAGCUGGCUGUUUCUUCAUUUCUUAUUCCACUGACUCCUACGAGGACACCAGCUGAGGCAUACCUUGUCAUAUCUAUGAAAGAAAAAUUUAUGUGCAUCUAAAGUAGAGACUAGAAGGGAACUCAGGAGGAACAGAAUCUUUGAAAAGCCCCUAUCUUGGUGUCCUAAUGAUUCUUAUUAAUGCUUAGGUUUUUGAGGCCACGGAGCCACCACUGAAUCCUGUCUCUGUUGUGUAGAAACUGUGUGAUUUGGGAUGAGUUGUUUAACCUCUUCAUCAAAAACAGAACCGCUCCCCACACCACUGCCACCAAAAGCAAACCUUUAUUGGCACUUGAUGAGGACCUGACUGGGUUGAGAACGCGCCCAAGCUUCGGGACCCCUGUGCCGACGCUGUUGCAGUGCCCCAUCCCUCCCAGUCUUGAGUGGGUAAGAAUGUGCCCCUACCUCCAGCUCAAGUGGCUGAAUACAGAGCAGUUACAGCCAUGGAGGCCUAAGUAGAAACCUGCAGGGGUUCGGCCUGGGCCUCCCAGGGCACCCUUUUGGCUCCUCAUGUGAGUGACAUCCCGAGGUGCAGCACCUGUCUUGUGCUCCUGAGGCGGAGGCGGCAGCAAUCACGGGUCCGUCAUGCCUGACAUGUCUGAAGUGCCGCGCCGACGUCCCCAGUCAGCUUCUCGGGCCUCUGGAGUAGGGACAAAGCGCCAGCCCUCCUCUACUGAGCCAUGUGUCAGGCGUUCCUUGGCUUGCAGCAGAAGCUGGUCUUCCUUCCUGCUGCAGAAUGUACCAUGAUUCUCUCCAGUCUCCAGAUGGACAGACUGAAGCUCAGGAUGUUAAACAUUUGGAUUUGCUCAGCCAGUCAGUGAUAAAAUGGAUCUCAGAUCUCCAAGGCUGGCUUCAGAACCUGCGCUCUCAGUCACUUACCUUGUGGCAUUUGUGGGGAGGAAAUGAAAUGACUUAAGUAAAGCACAUCGGCAUUAGCUCGGUAUGUGGCAUGUGAGAGGUUGUUGAAAUGUUGUGAUCUUUCCCACAAUCACCACUCCGUGUUCGUGCUUACCAAUCUAUCCUUGGGUUUUGAUUCUCAUUCAGUUAUUCUCCAUUCUGUCCUUUUCUCCGAAAAGGUUAGUAUUUGCUUUCCAUGCUUAAACAAUUGAGUGUAAUGGAUAUAGUAGGUAGUCUGUAUGUUUGUUGAAUGAGUAAAUGAGUAAUUCUCUUAAAAGAAUAUUUCCUAAAGAGCCAGGCAUGGUGGCACUAGGGAGGCGCCUGAGACAGGAGGAUCACCAUGAGUUUGAGGCCAAUCUGGGCUAUAUAGUGAGUUAAAGGCCAGCCUGAAGUGCAUAGUGAGACCGUGCCUCAAAACAAACAAACAAAAACCACCCAAGAAUAUUUCUUAAGCAUCAGUCUGAGAUUGCUGCAUACACUUUGAUAAGGAAGCUGCAAUGUUGUAUGUUAGCAAAGCACAGAGAAACCAGACUUCCUGGGUUCAGUUUUCAACUCUCCCGCUGGCUGAAGAGCUGUGUGACAUGGGCCGUGACUUAGCCUGAGGACUGCACUCUCUGUCUGUAGGAUGGAAAUGAUCAUCUGCAUUGCAUCAGAGUAUUGUUAGCUCUAACUGAAAUACCACUUCUGAAAGUUUUCAGAGGGACUGGUGGAGCAGUCAAUAAACAUUAGCUUUAUCGCAAUAAUUAGUUAACUGUUUUUACUAACUUAUAUGCACCCUACCAAAAGUGGUUCCAGUGGAUGAAGCAGAGUUGAAAACAAGAUCCUUUGGGUGGCUGAUGCAGAAAGUCAAAUUUGAUCCAUGAGGAGUUCCCGCAUCCAAACACAGCAGAAUAAAAAUAAAAAUGUGUGUGUCCUUGCUGAGUAGCUGAUACCUACAUGCUGUUUUCCAUUACGAAAUAUAAAUUCACCUUGAGUUUUGGUGACUGCAUUUUAAAAACAAAAAGGAAAUAGUUAUGUAUUCUUAUCUUCACAAAUCGUAAAAUACAUUUUGCACCUGCCUGGCUCCCUUUUCUGUUUUCAGAUCUGUGUAUCAAUUUGUUUGAGGGCAGUCAAUUCUGCUUCAUCAGAAAAAGCCUUGUCAUGCUAUCUUAAUGUCAAUUAUUAUGACUUAAAAGCGAAGCAGUGAAAAUUAAAACAAAAAUUAGCAACUGUAGUGUUAACCUUUGUAAUUCAGUUUCUAAGAAGGGCUGAGCCCUCUAGGGAAAGCGAGGAGACUCAUAGGUUCAUUCCCCAGUGAAACAACCAUCACUGGUGACAGCUGUUUAAACUCUCUGGUAUUUGCUCCAAGAGUGUGCAGCAAAUGAAGAAACAUUUAUUCAACAGUGCCUACUAAAUAUGCAAGAAUAACAAGAGUCCGUGACACUUGAACUCUGGCUUCGAUGGAAGCUCCAUUCCAGGCAGAUGUAGCCAAACAUGAGGUGGUCCCGUCCCUCUGGGUUCUUGGUCAGGGGACCCCGUGUCUCCCAGGAGGAACCGCCAGUGGUGUUUCUAGUCCCCUCAGUCUCAUUUCACAGAGCUUACUGUUUACUGGGAGUCGAUCAGCCCCCAGGCACAGGACACAGCUUCUCCCCUACUCGAGUCCCUGCUCACGAAGCAGGAGAAGCGGGCCAGGUACAUCCAGUGCCCUCGGUUGCCCAGGGUAAGGAAGUGGCCCAGAAGAAUAGAAUGGUGUUCUCCCCCAAAGACACUGACUUUAUUUGAAGAAGUGAGGGGUGUUCAGACCCAAGAGUUACCUCUAAAACAAUGGCAGUUUGGUAGUAAGAAGCUUAAAAGGGUCUGGUGGCUCCAGGAAAGUGACCAGUUAAAUCAGAGGCCAGCUGAGUUACUAGAGAGAACCUAAAGAAGAGAGCUCGACUAACAGCAUUCCUGCAGUGAGGAAAUAAAAUUAAAAAUGAACCCUCAAAGACUGGCCUAAAAAAUACCCUGCUUGAAUUUAAUUAAAUCAAAUUGUGGAGCAACCUAUAUGCCAGAGAAUUGUUGGAAAGAAGAGAACAAUCAGCAAAGCCAUCAGGAGAGAUGAACAGCUGGGUGUGAUGUAAUCAAGAGGGACCACUAAACAGAGCAGGGAAAGGGACAAAGGCCUGCUAGAGCCAGUGUCCCCCAGGGUGACUGUGUAGGCCAGCGGCUUCACACUGCACCGGUGGAGCGCUGGGAUUUGAGCUCAUGGAAGUCAUGUACCAGGUCAGUAAGCCAACAAGAAAAGCCAAAAAGAAAAGCUGCAGGUUAGGAGAGAAAUGAGUAUUCAGAGUUGCUAUUGUAUAUUACUGGAAAAUAAUUUGUCAGAAGGAGGAGAAAGAGGAGGAAGAGGAGGAAAGAGAACAAAGCUCGACUCCUACCUAGAAGAACAUGCAAUAGAGUUGCCUGUGAGGGCAUCUAGAUGUCAAGUGUAACUGAAACUUCAAACAGUCAUUAUAAAUGUGUUCAAAAAACUAAUGAAACCAUGCUCAAGGAAGUAAAGGAAGGUAUGAUGACAAUGUCUCAUCAGGAAAUAUAGGUGAAGAGGUAAAGAAUUUUAAAAACCAAAUGGAAUCUCUGCAGUUGAAAAACAUCCUGAAAUGAAAAAUUCACCAGCAGGGACCAGUAGUAGAUGGAAAGAGUCAGUGAGUUGGUAGUGAUACAGAUGAAGACUUUGCAAUAUGAGGAGGAGAAGGAAGAGGAGGAGAAAGUGAAGAGCACCUCAGAAAUGUGCAGCACUGUGGUAUGUGCCCACACACAAUGGGAACACCAGGAGAGGAGGAAAGCGAAAGAACAGGAGAAAAGAACACCACAGGAAGUCAAGGCUGGAAAUACCCCAAAUUCUGUGGGAAUCAAUCACAUCUCGGAAGCCCAGUGAGUUAUAAGCAGGAGAAAUAAAUGCAGAGAGGCAGUAUGUUACAAGUGUUGGCAUACAAAGACCAAAAGGAAACUUUGACCUGCGGGAGAAGAAGGACUCAUGGUUCAUAAAGGAACCCACUGGGGCCGAUGCUGACUUCACCUCAGAAAUCACUGAACACCAGAAGGAAAAACAAACUGGCAGCCAGGAAUCUUUGGUCAGCAAAGCUGUCUCUCACAAAUGAAAGCAAAAUAAAUAUAUUUCUGGACACAUGAAAAUUGAGAGAAUUUGUCCCCUCAGGUCCACCUUGCUAGGAACAAUAAAGGAAGUUUUCAAGGCCAAAGGCAAGGGAAAGGGCAAAUGAAAGCAAUAAAAACCCACACAAAAAAUAAACAAAACCCAGAAAAGCUGCCAAAGAUAACUAUGCAACCAUCAAAG